This 247-nucleotide ribosomal RNA is filed under the name uncultured bacterium. Its description in RNAcentral is "partial 16S ribosomal RNA". It matches the Rfam family "Bacterial small subunit ribosomal RNA", at positions 527 to 779 of the family's 1533-position model. The record is from RNAcentral.
CAGAGGUGCGAGCGUUAAUCGGAUUACUGGCGUAAGCGUGCGUAGGCGGCUUUAAGUCGGAUGUGAAAUCCCUGAGCUUAACUUAGGAAUUGCAUUCGAGUACUGGGAAGCUAGAGUAUGGGAGAGGAUGGUAGAAUUCCAGGUGUAGCGGUGAAAUGCGUAGAGAUCUGGAGGAAUACCGAUGGCGAAGGCAGCCAUCUGGCCUAAUACUGACGCUGAGGUACGAAGCAUGGGAGCAAACAGGAUU